CAUCCGUUCUUGCCUCUGUCCCACCACGUGCAGGUGUUGUGAAAGCUGUCAGAGAAUGGAGUCAGGGAAAGCCGUGAUGGGAAAGUUCUCACUAAUAAUUGCCUGAUAUAAAGAAUUAGCACAAAAGACUGCCAAAACCACAACCUUGCACAAAGGCCACAAAACUACACAAAAAAAUGCUUCAAGGACAUUUGCGCAGCAAGCCUCCUACAUGGUGCUGCUUCUAGUCGGCCGUCUUGGCCCCACCCCUAGUUUUGCAUGGCUGGGAGGCCUCAGGAAACUUAAAAUCAUGGCGCAAGGCAAAGGGAAAGCAACGCACCUUCUUCACAAGGCAGCAGGAGGGAGCUGGAGUGAUUUUCUAAGAAUAAUUCUGGCCAAACUUUCAUGCACUCCCGCAGCCAAACUCCAUUUGGAUCUAUUCAGGCAGGAAUCAUAUUUCAGCUCCUUAACUCUCAUAAGUGGAAACUGACACCAACUCAUUAUAAAACCUAAGUGGAAAA
This 500-nucleotide long non-coding RNA is filed under the name Homo sapiens (human). RNAcentral's name for it is "long non-coding RNA NONHSAT208540.1". The record is from RNAcentral. Lineage: Eukaryota; Metazoa; Chordata; Mammalia; Primates; Hominidae.